RNAcentral lists this ribosomal RNA (250 nucleotides) under uncultured bacterium. RNAcentral's name for it is "partial 16S ribosomal RNA". It matches the Rfam family "Bacterial small subunit ribosomal RNA", at positions 524 to 773 of the family's 1533-position model. The record is from RNAcentral.
UACAGAGGGUGCGAGCGUUAAUCGGAAUUACUGGGCGUAAAGCGUGCGUAGGUGGUUUAAUAAGUCAGAUGUGAAAGCCCCGGGCUCAACCUGGGAACUGCAUUUGAAACUGUUAGGCUAGAGUACGGUAGAGGGAAGUGGAAUUUCCGGUGUAGCGGUGAAAUGCGUAGAUAUCGGAAGGAACAUCAGUGGCGAAGGCGACUUCCUGGACCGACACUGACACUGAGGCACGAAAGCGUGGGGAGCAAAC